GGAGAAAUACCCAAGUCGGCCGAAGGGGGCGGUUUGCUAAACCGUUAGGUCGGGGAUUCCCGGCGCGAGGGUUCGAAUCCCUCUUUCUCCGCCA
RNAcentral lists this transfer RNA (94 nucleotides) under Clostridia bacterium. RNAcentral describes it as "tRNA-Ser". It matches the Rfam family "tRNA". From Rfam's summary of the family: Transfer RNA (tRNA) molecules are approximately 80 nucleotides in length. Lineage: Bacteria; Bacillati; Bacillota; Clostridia. The record is from RNAcentral.